UACGUAGGGUGCGAGCGUUGCCCGGAAUUAUUGGGCGUAAAGGGCUCGUAGGCGGUCUGUUGCGUCGGGAGUGAAAACUCAGGGCUUAACCCUGAGCCUGCUUCCGAUACGGGCAGACUAGAGGUAUGCAGGGGAGAACGGAAUUCCUGGUGUAGCGGUGAAAUGCGCAGAUAUCAGGAGGAACACCGGUGGCGAAGGCGGUUCUCUGGGCAUUACCUGACGCUGAGGAGCGAAAGUGUGGGGAGCGAACAGG
This 253-nucleotide ribosomal RNA is filed under the name uncultured bacterium. RNAcentral's name for it is "partial 16S ribosomal RNA". It matches the Rfam family "Bacterial small subunit ribosomal RNA", at positions 524 to 776 of the family's 1533-position model. The record is from RNAcentral.